AGCGAACGCUGGCGGCAGGCCUAACACAUGCAAGUCGAGCGGGCACCGCAAGGUGUCAGCGGCAGACGGGAGAGUAACACGUGGGAACGUGCCCUUCGGUUCGGAAUAACUCGGGGAAACUCGUGCUAAUACCGAAUACGCCCUUACGGGGAAAGAUUUAUCGCCGAUGGAGCGGGCCGCGUCUGAUUAGCUAGUUGGUGAGGUAAUGGCUCACCAAGGCGACGAUCAGUAGCUGGUCUGAGAGGAUGAUCAGCCUCACUGGAACUGAGACACGGCCCAGACUCCUCCGGGAGGCAGCAGUGGGGAAUAUUGGACAAUGGGCGCAAGCCUGAUCCAGCCAUGCCGCGUGGAUGAUGAAGGCCUUAGGGUUGUAAAGUCCUUUUAACGGGGAAGAUAAUGACGGUACCCGUAGAAUAAGCCCCGGCUAACUUCGUGCCAGCCGCCGCCGUAA
This 451-nucleotide ribosomal RNA is filed under the name uncultured bacterium. RNAcentral describes it as "partial 16S ribosomal RNA". It matches the Rfam family "Bacterial small subunit ribosomal RNA", at positions 29 to 523 of the family's 1533-position model. The record is from RNAcentral.